This is a non-coding RNA of Procambarus clarkii (red swamp crayfish), 617 nucleotides long. The record is from RefSeq and is a predicted model, not a curated record. Lineage: Eukaryota; Metazoa; Arthropoda; Malacostraca; Decapoda; Cambaridae.
AGGGGGAGCCCCAGAUCCCCCACGCCGGCGUUGCACACACCAAUUCUCGAGGCUGAUGUUUUAGGCAGCGGUUGUGUACUCUGGCUCCAGACUUUUACAGAGCUGUGCUUUGUGUGUGGCGUCUGUUCUCCAGGGUUGCGAGAGCCAGGAGUUCCUCUUCAGUACUCGGGCUGCAUGCGCCUAGGGUUACCUUCCCUAGGUGCCCUCUAUGUAUGAUUCAACAUUUCCUUGGUAACUCAUCGGCCUUCUUAUGCUGUCCUGCCUCUGAAAGAGCUUCACGUAUAAAGGCCAUGCCACCAGCUCAGUUAGACAUCACCCAUAAAUUACUGUCGUUCAGAUCCUACGUUGAAAGCCGUCCUCCAAAGGAACAGACAGCUCUUCUCCUUGAUGAAAAAACAUCCAAGAAUGGCUACACAAAGAUGAAGAAUUAUCAGUGUUAUAUGACGAAUUAGCUGUAAUUUUAGGACGCUUGAAUAGUUUGGACCAGCUGGACCAAGUAAUUGAUAACUCGCCAUCUGAGGAACUGCCCCUCAACAUCCAAUCAUCUGACAGAUUUCAGUUAAAAGAGGUUAGUCUCAGAAUAGUGUAGAGUGGCUUGUGUUUUGUGACAAGGUCUU